CGGGGUGUAGUAUAGCGGUAGUACGCGUGCUUUGGGAGCACGUAGUCUGGGUUCAACUCCCAGCACCCCGA
Molecule: transfer RNA, 71 nt
Filed under: Candidatus Harrisonbacteria bacterium RIFCSPHIGHO2_12_FULL_48_16
Lineage: Bacteria; Candidatus Harrisoniibacteriota
Description: tRNA-Pro
Rfam family: tRNA
About the family: Transfer RNA (tRNA) molecules are approximately 80 nucleotides in length. Their secondary structure includes four short double-helical elements and three loops (D, anti-codon, and T loops). Further hydrogen bonds mediate the characteristic L-shaped molecular structure. tRNAs have two regions of fundamental functional importance: the anti-codon, which is responsible for specific mRNA codon recognition, and the 3' end, to which the tRNAs corresponding amino acid is attached (by aminoacyl-tRNA synthetases). tRNAs cope with the degeneracy of the genetic code in two manners: having more than one tRNA (with a specific anti-codon) for a particular amino acid; and 'wobble' base-pairing, i.e. permitting non-standard base-pairing at the 3rd anti-codon position.
Source: RNAcentral